CGUCGAGCGAAUCGACGGGAGCUUGCUCCCUGAGAUUAGCGGCGGACGGGUGAGUAACACGUGGGCAACCUGCCUAUAAGACUGGGAUAACUUCGGGAAACCGGAGCUAAUACCGGAUACGUUCUUUUCUCGCAUGAGAGAAGAUGGAAAGACGGUUUACGCUGUCACUUAUAGAUGGGCCCGCGGCGCAUUAGCUAGUUGGUGAGGUAAUGGCUCACCAAGGCGACGAUGCGUAGCCGACCUGAGAGGGUGAUCGGCCACACUGGGACUGAGACACGGCCCAGACUCCUACGGGAGGCAGCAGUAGGGAAUCUUCCGCAAUGGACGAAAGUCUGACGGAGGAACGCCGCGUGAACGAAGAAGGCCUUCGGGUCGUAAAGUUCUGUUGUUAGGGGAAGAACAAGUACCAGAGUAACUGCUGGUACCUUGACGGUACCUAACCAGAAAGCCACGGCUAACUACGUGCCAGCAGCCGCGGGUAAUACGUAGGUGGCAAGGCGUUGUCCGGAAUUAUUGGGGCGUAAAAGCGCGCGGCAGGUGGUUCCUUAAGUCUGAUGUGAAAGCCCACGGGCUCAACCGUGGAAGGGUCAUUGGAAACUGGGGGAACUUGAGUGGAGAAGAGGAAAGUGGAAUUCCAAGUGUAGCCGGUGAAGAUGCGUAGAGAUUUGGAGGGAGCACCAGUGGCGAAAGCGACUUUUCUGGGUCUGU
Molecule: ribosomal RNA, 708 nt
Filed under: Bacillus sp. (in: firmicutes)
Lineage: Bacteria; Bacillati; Bacillota; Bacilli; Caryophanales; Bacillaceae
Description: bacterial SSU rRNA
Rfam family: Bacterial small subunit ribosomal RNA
Source: RNAcentral